GACGAACGCUGGCGGCGUGCUUAACACAUGCAAGUCGAACGGAAAGGCCCUGCUUUUGUGGGGUGCUCGAGUGGCGAACGGGUGAGUAACACGUGAGUAACCUGCCCUUGACUUUGGGAUAACUUCAGGAAACUGGGGCUAUUACCGGAUAGGAGCUCCUGCUGCAUGGUGGGGGUUGGAAAGUUUCGGCGGUUGGGGAUGGACUCGCGGCUUAUCAGCUUGUUGGUGGGGUAGUGGCUUACCAAGGCUUUGACGGGUAGCCGGCCUGAGAGGGUGACCGGCGACAUUGGGACUGAGAUACGGCCCAGACUCCUACGGGAGGCAGCAGUGGGGAAUAUUGCACAAUGGGCGGAAGCCUGAUGCAGCAACGCCGCGUGCGGGAUGACGGCCUUCGGGUUGUAAACCGCUUUCGCCUGUGACGAAGCGUGAGUGACGGUAAUGGGUAAAGAAGCACCGGCUAACUACGUG
Molecule: ribosomal RNA, 468 nt
Filed under: uncultured bacterium
Lineage: Bacteria
Description: partial 16S ribosomal RNA
Rfam family: Bacterial small subunit ribosomal RNA
Source: RNAcentral